This 380-nucleotide ribosomal RNA is filed under the name uncultured eukaryote. RNAcentral describes it as "partial 18S ribosomal RNA". It matches the Rfam family "Eukaryotic small subunit ribosomal RNA", at positions 592 to 976 of the family's 1831-position model. The record is from RNAcentral.
CAAUAGCGUAUAUUAAAGUUGUUGCAGUUAAAAAGCUCGUAGUUGGAUUUGUGGCGUACGGUGUGUUCCGGGCACUUGUUGUCUGAGUAACCUGCUGUUGCCAUCCUUGGGUGGAACCUGUGUGGCAUUAGGUUGUCGUGCAGGGGAUGCCCAUCAUUUACUGUGAAAAAAUUAGAGUGUUCAAAGCAGGCUUAUGCCGUUGAAUAUAUUAGCAUGGAAUAAUGAGAUAGGACUUUCUUGCUAUUUUGUUGGUUUGCGCGAAGAGGUAAUGAUUAAUAGGGACAGUUGGGGGUAUUCGUAUUCCAUUGUCAGAGGUGAAAUUCUUGGAUUUUUGGAAGACGAACUACUGCGAAAGCAUUUACCAAGGAUGUUUUCAUUAA